UCGAGGGGAAACGAUAGAGAAAGCUUGCUUUUUCUAGGCGUCGACCGGCGCACGGGUGAGUAACGCGUAUCCAACCUGCCCACCACUUGGGGACUAACCUUGCGAAAGUAAGACUAAUACCCAAUGACGUCCAUAGAAGACAUCUGAAAUGGAUUAAAGAUUUAUCGGUGAUGGAUGGGGAUGCGUCUGAUUAGCUUGUUGGCGGGGUAACGGCCCACCAAGGCAACGAUCAGUAGGGGUUCUGAGAGGAAGGUCCCCACAUUGGGACUGAGAUACGGCCCAGACUCC
Molecule: ribosomal RNA, 288 nt
Filed under: uncultured Prevotellaceae bacterium
Lineage: Bacteria; Pseudomonadati; Bacteroidota; Bacteroidia; Bacteroidales; Prevotellaceae
Description: partial 16S ribosomal RNA
Rfam family: Bacterial small subunit ribosomal RNA
Source: RNAcentral